Non-coding RNA from Coturnix japonica (Japanese quail), 5616 nucleotides. The record is from RefSeq and is a predicted model, not a curated record. Lineage: Eukaryota; Metazoa; Chordata; Aves; Galliformes; Phasianidae.
AGCAUGCAGUGUUAUCACACACUUUAAGAGCAGUUUUAGUAUAGAUAACCUGUCUGUUCCCCCCCUUCUCCAGAGCUUGCAGCAGGUCUAACAGGAGCUGUACAUGAAGACAGAGCAGGCUGCAUGCAGAACUCUUCCAGAUGUAUGCUGGGCUGAAAGGGGCUGAGCUAUUUCUGCAGUGCCACUGAGCUUCUCUUCUGUCCACUCUCUUCCUGUAACCAAAGGGGUUGAAAUAAGCGACGUCUGUAAAUGGCUCAGCAGGUUGGAAGAUACAGGUUUAUUCUUGGCAGUGAAUAUCCCUGGAUUCCUGUUCAGAGUAGAGUAGACUACACUUUCUCCGAAUCCUUGCUCUGAAUCACAAAAAAAAAUGUGUUAUUUCCUUGCAAUGGUGUUGUCCAAGAUUUAGAGGUCAUGAUCCAACACAUCAGCCAAAAAAACGACCUUGGCUUGGAAACGAGGCUUUUCACAGAUCUCUGAAGGUCAGAUGUUCAUUUUUCCAGCUGAGGAAUUUGAGACCAUUUGUGCUGCCUACCUUUAAGGUGCCUGUUUUGGGUCCUGAAGUGAUGAAGCUCCUCCUCCAAACUUCUGUGCUUCCUCUGGAAUGAGCUGUUAGACACCAGCCUCCCAGAACUGGGCACCCAGAUAAGCAACUGAAAUGCCAUCUCACGGAGCGCAGUGACCUCCCUGGAGGGCUGUCCUUGGGCUGUGGCUUCAUGCUCCCCUGUCUCAUGGGAGACACUGGAUUUCCUUCCUAGCUGUCUCCCACGGAGUACUUUGGAGCAUUUAUGUUUCUGUAGCGCAGGACUGAGCCAAGAAGCAGCUCAGAGCACGUGUGGUAAGGUGUCUUGUGCAAAGGCUGCCCUUAAGCAUCGCUCUCCAGCCCCAGCUUGGCCAUUCAUGGUAUGUUGCAUUUGCCAAACAUAAAUUGAAAUAGGUCUUGAACAAUUGCAUUGGCAUGUGUGUGACUUUCUCUCCAGCCAAGCAGUGAAGGCACCGUGGCUCCUGUUGCAGAGCAUGCCAAUACUUGGAAUGUGCUCCUGCCAAUAUCCCACAUAAAUCACGCCUUAUCCAGCCCUCCUCAGUCCUUCUGGAGAUUUCUGCUUCACUGCAAGUGAUACGUGAUGGAUCUGUGCUUCCUCAGAGCAUCACAUUGCAGGCAGAUCUCAAUACACUUAUUUACGCAAGGUGCUACACACCAGAAAGGACCAUUUGGAUGGCUUGGGAGGGUCAGCAUGGAGCCUAGAAGUGUCAGCAUGGAGCCUAGAAUGCAUUUGAAAGUGCUAAAAUACCAAAACCCAGCAGAAGGGGGUCAAUGUUAGGAAAGAAGCUUGCACUCCUCAUUGUCUGAGGAAAUGGAAGCGGGGUGAUGGCAGGGGCCAGAUCCCAUUGAGCAUCGCAAUGCAAACACACACGCGUGCAGCACAGGGAGCAAAGCGUUGGGGACCGGAGCCCCAGAAAUAUUGCACUGUCCAGAGUCCACGGGUUAAAACAAACAUCAACACUGCGUCAAAUAGUUUGCCCCCUGAGCCUGCACCUCGACUCCUUGGGUUGUAUUGCAUAUGUGCAGCGAUCCCAGGGCCAAGACUGCUCGCAUAGGUAUGAAGGCUGUCUUGCAACCUCCGCUGCAUCCUUUCUGUGCAUGGUAACAAGGUACUUUUCUUCUGCCAUGAGACCUACUCGUGUCACACUGGCUUGUGGGAUUGUCCUCGUUGCAGAUCCUCAAUGAAAAAACUACUUCCAGUUGAGCCACCUGGACAAUGAUUUGCAGAUUGAAAACAAACAAGCAGAAUCUCGGAGUUAAAGAGGUCCCAGUGUUGGGACAGAUGCUGUGGUACUACUCUAAAUUUCACUUGGAAAGCUGAAGGAACCAAAUGCAUCAACUCAGGACCCCACAGAGCACACCCCUGAAAUCGACCUUGCACAUACAGUGAACCCAUGGAGAGGAAGGAGUGACCCCAUGAAGGAGUGGAGACGCCAGAGCUGCAGGGGAGAGGCUGCUUGGGAAGUCAAAUGAGGGCAGAAAGCAUCAGCCUUUCCAGGAAAGAACCUGUCCUUGCACAUUUCCUUGUGUCUGGGCUUCGAUAUCUUGAUUGGGAGCACAUGAGGAAAAGAAAACACCCCCCAUUUUACUGAGCCCCAGCAGGGUGAACAGAAGGAAAAAGGUGCUCCAGGGCAGGAAGAAACUGUGAAGAAAUAGGUUUGCAAACUCCAUUUAUAUUGGAUUGUUUAAAAAUUGUCCUGAGAGCUGCCUUCUGGGGACAGCUGUCCUACUCUGAAGGAGGGAGAGCAGAGAUGUGUGUGGGGAGAAGCCGUGUGUGGGACUCUAGGGGUUGGGAUGGGACUCAGGUUGCAAUUGCCUCUGGUUGCUCUCAGGCCUGAGAAAGGCAGGAAGAUGCUGGGCACAUGGAAGAAAGGCUCCAUGAAACUCUUCGUCCUGUAGAAGCAACAUCUCUCUCUGCAACAGGAGAGGUCUCACCUGACCAUAAGCAGCCCUGGAAAGUAGAGAGGUGAGAAAGGCAGCUGAUUCAUAAAAUCAUCUGAGAUGGAAGAGACCCUUAAAGGCCAUCUGGUCCAACUCCUCUGCAAUGAUCAGGGACACCUACAGCUCUGUCAGGUGCUCGCAGCCCAUCCAUCCUGACCUUAAGUGUCCCCAGGGACCUAUCGUCUCCAGGUCCCCUGCCUGCCAGCCAUCUGAAGUCAUGGCAAUGCUACAAGUGCCUCCAUGCUCAAGCAGGACAUGCAGAAAAAGCUGAGCUGCCCUGGAGAUGUACAUGAGCUGCUGGUACCCAAUGUGCAGACACAGCAAUGGAUAAAAGGAGGCUCAGCAUUGCAAUACAUUAAUGUGCUGCAUCCCAAGAAAUGUUUCCUCAGGGUGGAGGAAUUCUGGUAAGGUUCUCUACUAAUGCACCCAUAGCCAGUAUCUGGUCUGGACUGCUCGACAGCAGAAAUGAACACAUCCAUCUUGCGUUGGCUGCACAUGGCAUGCACAGGGGGACUGUUCCUUAUUAGCACUCGCAACCAUUGGCAAGAGCUGCUGGAACAGAGGUUGAGCUCCAACUGCUAUUCCUGCCUCUCCUCCUUCACUUGUGCUUGUGUCUUUCUCAAACUCAUUCCUUUUGGAAUUUUCCAUGCUUCAUCCAAGCUCAGUGACAAGUUUUUGCUGAAGGUGCGGACUGUGCUGGUUGGAGUCCCCUUUGUGGAGCUCCUCACUCAUGAUGAACGUUCAUCUUUCAUGUCCAAGGAGAUGUCAAGCUGAAGAAAAUCUUCAGAUGAUGGAUUCUGAUUUAUUUUCUUGUGUAUUUGUUUUGAAAAGUGACUUACAAGUUUACAUUUCCAUCAACUGGAACAUAAAAGGAAAUCAAUUAUUUAGAUCCCCCCAAGUGAAAAGCUGCAAAGCUCUGGCAAAACUGAAGUUUUUCCAUGGAACAUUCAGAUUUUGUGAAAGCCAUGCUUUCUGUUGAAAACAAACAAACAAACAAGGAUCAUUAGUCCUUCAUCUGCUCUACUUUUAAAGGACAAUUCAAAAAUAUAAGGGCAAAAAUCUCCACUUCCAGCAUCUAAUAUAUCAGCUCUUUUUUAGUGUGACUUCAAUUCCACCCCCUUAGUGAAGAGGCUAAAAAAAUUUCUCAGAUUGAAGGAAAGUAUUUUAUCAGUUAGAAAGUUGUGGAAAUUUAAAAUGGGUAUCUUGGUGCAUGUAUUAGAUUUGCAGCUUGCCUUCCUAUCUGGGUUGAAGAUUCUGUUCUUAAAAGCCCAGUGUUAACUCAGUUGUGAAUAUCCCUGGUAGGAGGCUUUUGGUUUGCUAGCAUUUUCUUUUUUAAUUUUAUUUCUUAAAAGAAGAAAAAAAAAAGAAAGAAAAAGAAAGGACAACUCAAACACAGAAAAAUCUGUUUAGAACUGAAGCAGCAAAAAUUACAUCUUGGCACUGAGAAACCUCCAUUCAUUAUGUUUCUGUAGCAGCAAUUCUAGGGUUGAAUUUAUUAUUGACAGGAAUUUUGUGGUUUAAUGCACAUUUUUCUUUGGAUUUUCAAAUUUAAAGAUUGUUUUCCUUUGACAGCCUUCUUUUUCUUCGAAAGUCAGGAUAACCAAAUAGUAAACCUAACUAAUUAAACCUUCAAAAGCUAGUGAGUUCCAGUCCAAGGAUGCGUGGCAUCACGAUGUUAACACAAGGUCAUUGCACAAAUGUAGACUCUUCUUCUCUACUCCCUUCUCCACCCUGUUUUGACAGGAUAACUUCCUGAGUGUCUGGAAAUUGUCUCUACAAGCGUGUGAAUGUAAAUAUUAAUUUGGUACUUCCAGACACACACACACAUACGUAUGAAAUUGGCGUAUUCUGUGUACUGAGCACGCAUGAAGUAGUUCCUUGAAUGCACUGCACGUCUGCAAAAGGCUCUGAAUGUAUCAUGGUGGAUGGCUUGAUUUGAAACAUUAAGAUAGGUGAUAAGAAAUUCUUGCUAUAAAAUCAUUCAUGUAUGUUUCAAACGACUCACUUAAAGGGGAAAAAAUAUUUUAUAAUUAACAUGACAGAUAAGAGUAUCUGUGACACUUUGAAUAAAUGCAAUGUAUUUGAUUUUGAAGUAGGGUUUAAGAUUCUGGAGAUGUGUUCAAGAGAGGGAAGAUGCACUCAGUGUUGAAAAUGAAGAAGUACUGUAUAUCAUCUUAAGAAAUUAAGAGACCUCACAUGAAUCCUUAUUCCUAAUUGCCUCCCAUUUCGAGCUUCCUAGGAGAUGUGCAGGGCUAAUUAAAACAGAGCUGGCAAAAAGAAGACCCUACAAGGGAACCUGGGUUUCUUUUCCAUGCUGAUAGCCAUGCCAGGAGAAGGCGUUCAAAGAUCUAGCCAUGGUGGAAGUAACUGGGGAAAAGCUACCUCUAUAGAUUUUAAAGGAAAAUACAGGGUGGAUGGUACUGUAAAUGUUAGAUGUGAUAAGUGUGGUGUUGGAGAGCUGGUGGCCAGUUCAGUGGGCAGUUCUGCUUAGUUUGAGGGUGUAUGAUCUUAGGCCCUGUGCUGGGCUACGUCCCUACAACCUUUCUGCAGAUAAAUGUACAGUAGCUAGAGGUGUGUGGCAGAAAGGGGAAUGGGUGUUCCCUGCCAGCAUGUUUAUCUGCAGAGUCAAUCACCAGGAUGAACUAUUAAAAAAUACCCCGAUUUCCAUGGCACUUUCUUCUCAUUUCUUAACUGCUGCUCAGGCAAAGCUGUUAUUAAUUCAGGAGGAGUCUGACUGAGCAAGAAGUCUCCAGAGUCCAAAAUAUGUUGAGGAGAGUAAAUAAAAGAAUUUUUCACCUACCACAGAACAGCAUCAGCCUCUGGGUUGAAUGCAGGAGCUGUUUAACAAUGCGCAGAAACAUUUCCCCCCAGGUUUGGACAGGAGUUGGAUUGUAUGCCCAAUUGAGCCUACAACUGAAAGCAAUGAGCUGGAUGGACACUCUUGAUAUGGGAUGGGCUUGGAGGGUGAGUGCUACCUGCCUGAGUACCACACCACUUCCUUUAGGACACUGGGAGAUUUUCUGGAGCUCACCCAUCUGACCCAAUCCUCCACAUGAGAUCUGGCAAGAUAGUCACUCCAAGUGUCUGGGGAGCAUCACUAGAAGCAAGUUCAGGAUAAGGAAAGGGUGUGAUGC